RNAcentral lists this long non-coding RNA (252 nucleotides) under Lathyrus oleraceus (garden pea). Its description in RNAcentral is "Pisum sativum (pea) long non-coding RNA (PSAT_LNC017567)". The record is from RNAcentral. Lineage: Eukaryota; Viridiplantae; Streptophyta; Magnoliopsida; Fabales; Fabaceae.
UCCAUUUCAUUUCAAAAAACCAUAUCUCACUCAUUAUUGGUCCAAAAAUUAUGGGACCAAUUCCAUUCUUCUCCUUUUAAUUUCUACUUUCUAAAAAUGAUUUUUAAUAUUUUUUAUUUUGUCAUUUGAUAUUUUUUAGUAAUUUUCUCUUUUCUGGUUAUUGUUAAUUCAUUUAAAAUAGUUUUUGAUAUUCAAAAAAUACAAAAAUAUUUUUCCAACCUCUUUGAAUGAUGAUAGAUCUAUGAAAAAUAU